Callithrix jacchus (white-tufted-ear marmoset) is the source of this 4470-nucleotide non-coding RNA. NCBI's taxonomy places the organism in Eukaryota, Metazoa, Chordata, Mammalia, Primates, Cebidae. The record is from RefSeq and is a predicted model, not a curated record.
GCCGGCCCGCCGCCCGCUCUCCCACAGCCGCCCGCCCGCCCAGCGCGGAACAACUUCGGGGCCCGCCCCCUUCCUCCGCCUGCCCCCGCCCCCGCCGCCCGGAACCGCCCCCGAGCGCAGCCCCCGCCCCGCCCGCGGCCCGCACUUGGCGCGCCCAGCCCCGCCCCCCGCGCGCUUUACCUUCUCGCCGCGGGGCAUGCGCGGGCGGUCUGGACGGAGGCUGCCGGGGGUGGCGAGCGGAGCUUGUUUCCUCCUAGCCCCGCGCGGGCGCCACGCCCCGCCGCAUUUUCCGGGCCCCGGGCUCGGCCGCUCGCCGCAGAGAGAGCAGGCCGCUAAGGAGGCGGGCGCCCGGGCCUGCCCGGACAGGAAGUGGGCCCAGGUUUCCCACUCCUCGCUCAGCGCCUUCCUCCAUGAAAGGGCAGGCCCUGGAGGCCGCGAGCGUCCAGGCGGUGGCCGGGCAGCCGGAUGCUCCCGGGUGACGGGCUGUGGCCCCGGAGGCUGAGGGCAGCGCGGGUGCAGUGGAGGCAGGGAAGCCGCGGGCCGGCCUUCUCGCUGGCCACGGCGCCCUGUACGGACGAUCAAUGAAUGGACAUUACUCAAGUAUUUAUCGAGAACUCUCAGUGGGCUAGGUGCGGUUCAGGUUGUGUGAAUGCGCAGAUCAACAAACCCGAAGACCCUGCCUUAGGGGAGCUUUCGUUUCAAUGCGGGGAUGAAUGCAGUUUUGCCCUAAUAACUUUUGGGACCCUCCCGCCAUCAUUAAUUAAUUAGACACAUCUCACCCAAAGUCUACCUUAAAUAUUAAUCAGAAGAAGUGGAAAAAUAAACAGAAAAAGCAAAAAAUGAACUUUCUCAUUGAAAGUUUCUAUUUAAUAGUAAGUCUUAUAAGUACUCCUGGAAGGACAAAAGGCGUUUUUAAUAAAUUAAUUUGUAUUUGCAAAUAUUGGAUUUAAUCCUACCAAUAAUGAAGGAGUCAAUUACUUUCUAGACGUACAGAAAUACAUAAUGAACAAGGAGCUAUUCCUAUUCCGUUUUUUAUUAGGUCCACGGUUAUUUCACUUCUAAGUAAAUAUGAUUUCUUAAAAGUGGCAGAGGGUGAAAUGUAUAUUGAGACAGGAUGGAGUUCCUAGAGAAAUUUUACUUCCUUAAUUUACACUCCACCUUACUUAGCAUACAGUACUGGGUCUGUAACUCCCUUAUCUGACUCUCAAGGAAAUGAAAAAGUCAUGCCUAGAUUGGAUUAGACCUCAUUUCACUUCAUGCCUAACCCUUCUCGAAGUUGAACCUUAGUCUUUUGAGGAACAGAAAGAUCAAGAACUCUGAAGCACCUCGAUUUUCCAUCUGUGAAGAUGUGUUCAAAUUUUCAACUUGCAGCCACAUCUCUGAGGUUGACCUUUAUACAACUGGUUUCUUUAUAGGGUCACUCCCUCUGGAGGAAGCCAGCUGGCACAUUGUGAAGAUCCUCAGUCCUGUGGAGGCAAAUCCUCCAUAUGGCUGAGGCCUGCUGCCAGCAACCAGCACUGACUUGCCAGGUAUAUGAUUGUGCCAUCCCGGAAGCAGAUUUUCCAGCCCCAGUCAAGCCUUCAGAUGAUGUCAGCCCCUGCUGAUCUCUUGACUGCAACCCCAUUAGAGACCAUGAGACAGAACUAGCCAGGCUUAGCACAGUGGCUCAUGCCUGUGAUACCAGCACUUUGGGAGGCCAAGUACAGAGGAUUGCUUGAGCUCAAGAAUUCAAGACCAACCUGGGCAACAUAGCAAGACCUCAUCUCUACUAAAAAAAAAAAAAAAAAAAAAAAAAAAAGAAAGAAAGAAAAAAAUUAGCUGGGCAUAGUGGCAUGCACCUGUAGUCCCAGCUACUCAGGGGCUGAGGCAGGAGGAUAUCUUGACCCAGGUGGUUGAGAACACAAUGAGCCAUCACUGCAUCACUGCACUCCAGUCUGGGUGACAAAGUAAGACUCUUUCUCAAAAAACUAAAAAAAAAAAAAAUUAAACAUUGCAUUCUACAUGCAAGUGAAUCCUAGAAACUCAUAUACCCAACCGGCCCCUGAUAUGUGCAAUCUCAGGUGCAUAUAUUUGUUCAUACCCUACUGGAAUCAUCUGAGUUUGUUUGGGGCACAGUUCACGUCUCCAAUCUGGUACUACAUAUUCUUGUGUUUAAACUAAAAAUUCGAAAAAGUGAUAGCUUGAUGAUUCUAAAGACAAAGAAACAGGACUGGUUUCUUUAAUUCUGACAUUCUACAUGAACACUUGAACCUUUUAUUUGUGUUUAAAACUUAAAAUAGUGAAAUAGAGGGCACAAUGCCAAUAUUAUCAUUUGUUUCAUGGCAUUUUUUUGUUUUCUGGAAUGCUUUUCAUUUUCAUUGACAGGAGCAAGGGGUUAAAAGUGAUCUGCUUCAGGGUUGGGCACGUUGGUUUAUGCCUGUAAUCCCAGCACUUUGGAAGGUCAAGGAAGGAGAGUCACUUGAGCCCAGGAGUUUGAGACCCACCUGGGCAACAUAGGGGGACCCCCAUCUCUAUAAAAAAAUUUUUUUUUAAGAAAAAAAAGAUCUGCUGCAGUUAUCAAAUAUGCUCAAUAUAAGAGUGAGUAGAAUUAAGCUUUGAGGUAUUGGAAACUGUCUUAGGGCCGAGUGUGGUAACUCAUACCUGUAAUCUCAGCAUUUUGGGAGGCCAAGGCAGGCAAAUCACCUGAGGUUCAAGACCAGCCUGGCCAAUAUAUAGUCUCUACUGAAAAUACAAAAAGUAGCUGGGCAUGGUGGUGCACACCUGUAGUCUCAACUACCUCGGAAGCUGAGGCAGGAGAAUUGCUUGAAUCAGGGAGAUUGAGGUUGCAGGGAGCCAAGAUCUUGCCACUGCACUCCAGCCUGGGUGACACAGCAAGACCCCGGCUCUCAAAAAAAAGUAAAUAAGAAAUUACCUUAAACAUUGUAGAUCCACUUCCUGACUUUAGAAGCAAAAAAAGGAAGGCUCAGAACUUGCUGCCAUUAGUAAGGGUUUCGUGAGCGGGGGUUAAGGGACAGGCCCUCCUCCCUCCUAGUCUGUUGCUCCCGGCACUGCUUCUGAACCCUAUGUCUGUUUUCCUUUAGCAGACAGGUGAUAACUCAGAAAAACCAAGUUCCUCGUCCAAUGGCCACUAGUGACUCAGUGGCAGAAUAAGGCAUGGGAACCAGGACUCCUGACAGCUCCAGGGCUCUGACCGUUGUGCCCAGUUUCCCCUUUCCAGCUCUCAUUCAGCUACAGACAAAUCAAUUAUAGGCAACUAAUGAAUGUGCCACCUGACUUUCAGAUGGGAAGAGGGGAGCAUUAUUAAAAACAGACUUAAAAAGAGAGAGAGAGAGACAGACAGACAGAGAGAGAGAGAGAGAGAGAACUUGACACUAGAAACUUCAGCCAGAAUUCUAGCCACCAGAAACAUACUGGGAUACAACAUUUGGGAAGCAAGGGAACAAUUUCAGACACUGUUUUCCUCUAAUUUGGAAGGCAUCUUUGUUUUUUGUUUUGUUUUGUUUGAGACAGAGUCUAACUCUGUCACCCAGGCUGUGGUGCAGUGGUGUGAUCUCACUCACUGCAACCUCCGCCUCCCGGGUUCAAGUGAUUCUCCUGUCUCAGUCUCCUGAGCAGCUCGAUUACAAGCAUCUGGCACCAUGCCCAGCUAAUUUUUAUAUUUUUAGUAAAGCCAGGCUUUCACCAUGUUGGUCAGGCUGGUCUUGACCUCCUAACCUCAGGUGAUCUGCCCUCCUCAGCUUCCCAAAGUGCUAGGAUUACAGGCAUGAGCCACUGUGCCUGGCCUAAUUUGGGAGGCAUGUUUUGAUGGAAAGAAUAUUAGAAACUUAAGAUGCCCACAAAUAUGCUUAUCCUUAGUUUUUCUUUUCUUUUCCUUUCCUUUCCUUUCUUUUUUUUUUUUUUUUUUUUUUUAGAUGGGGUCUAACUCUGUUGAGUAGGCUGUAGUGCAGUGGCACAAUCACGAUUCACUGCAGCCUUGACCUCCCAGGCUCAAGUGUUCCUCCCACCUCAGCCUUCCCAGUAGCUGAAGCCACAGGUGUGUGCCAUCAUGCCCAGCUAAGUUUUAAAAAAAUUUUUAUAGAGACCAGGUCUCACUAUGUUGCUCAGGCUGGUCUCAAACUCCUAGGCUCAGCCUCCCAAAGUGCUGGAGUUAGAGGUGUGAGCCACUGCAUUGGCCCUUAGUUUUUCUAUGUACACAGAGAAAGCAAUAAUUAUCAGAGGGACACUGUUAUGAUGCAGUACACUGUCACACUGAGGAAAAGUUCAACAGAAAGAACUCUGUGGAAAGAUUUUCAUGAGCCAAAACACAACUCAUGAACCCCUGUUACUCAACUGCCAUGCCUGCCUUCUUUGAGCAGCUGUCUCCUAGCCUGCAGAGAAACUCAGAAACUAUCCUGAUUGCCGGGCGCGGUGGCUCACACCUGUAGUCCCAGCACUUUGGGAGGCCGAGGCGGGUGGAUCACGAGGUCAAGA